Molecule: ribosomal RNA, 478 nt
Filed under: uncultured bacterium
Lineage: Bacteria
Description: partial 16S ribosomal RNA
Rfam family: Bacterial small subunit ribosomal RNA
Source: RNAcentral
GAUGAACGCUAGCGGCAGGCCUAACACAUGCAAGUCGAGGGAGAAGCCCUUUCGGGGGCCGAAACCGGCGCACGGGUGCGUUACGCGUAUGCAACCUACCUUUCACAGGGGGAUAGCCCGAAGAAAUUUGGAUUAAUACCCCAUAAUAUUGUUGGAUGGCAUCAUUUGGCAAUUAAAACUGCGGUGGUGAAAGAUGGGCAUGCGUCCUAUUAGCUAGUUGGAGUGGUAACGGCACCCCAAGGCUACGAUAGGUAGGGGUCCUGAGAGGGAGAUCCCCCACACUGGUACUGAGACAGGGACCAGACUCCUACGGGAGGCAGCAGUGAGGAAGAUUGGUCAAUGGUCGGAAGACUGAACCAGCCAUGCCGCGUGCAGGAAGAAUGCCUUAUGGGUUGUAAACUGCUUUUAUAUGGGAAGAAUAAGGCGUACAUGUACGUUGAUGACGGUACCAUAUGAAUAAGCAUCGGCUAACUCCGUG